CCAGGUUUCAUACAAGCCUCGAGCAUCGGUUUAACAGCAGUUGCAUAAUAAGACUCAAAAGGCCAAGCACUCCUCCUGCCUUGUACAUCUCCAUUUCCACACGAACGAGAGUGAUGGAUCUGGACGAAAACCGAGCACUACCCGAGCGCCACUACCAAGCUGGUUAUUAUGCAGCAAAGAAGAGGAAAACCCAACACCUGGCGCACAAAUAUGCAGACACCCAGCGAAUAGGUGGAUCUACGGAGAGCUGUCUUCCCUUUCCCUUCCCCAAUAGGCAACCCUUGAUGGGUGUGCCAGGAAUGGGAUAUCGGGGGGAGGAGAAGAAAAGGGGUGGGAAGUGGUUGCCGCUUGCUGCAGCCAGGCUGAGCGAUGGCGAGGUGGUUAAUCAUGGUGGCUGAGGAAACACGGGGUCACUUCUCCCCCUUCCGCCUCCCGUGUGACGAGGACGGCGGGCACCGGCCACGGGGGGGGACCCGGACCCCGCACGGACCCGCCGGCGGCGGCGACUCAGAUUGAAUGGGCUCAGGAAAACGUGAGCAUUAGUCUGCCAGCAGCCAGGACCCAGUAGCAUGAUAAUCGAAGCAAAACAUUUACAGAACAAUCUGAAAUAUUGAAAUAUUCCUCCCCCAGAAGAGCUGAAACCAAGCUUCUGGUUAAAUUACUGUCUGCGUUGGACUUCUUGAUCAUAUAGAAAGAACAACUAAAAGUCUACAAGAAAGCUGUAUGAAAACCCUGCAAAUCAAUAGAUCCUACUUUUGAACAGGACAAGAAGGAAACGAUUUGGAAGAAAACAAAGACAAACAUCUGUACCUCAAAGAAGUUUUUUUCAGGGGUCUGCAUGAGAAGCCUGCUCCCAGGAAGUUGGAUGUCUGAGACCACUUGGCCUUUUUGCAAGAAAAGGGAAAAACACCCAGACCCUUCUGACCAGCAGCAGAAGACUGAAGAGUGAAAGCAUUUUAACAUCCUGGGACACUUACAUGGACACAAAUGGAUUAGUUCUCCUGCCUGGGAGCCCUCCUCUGAGACUCCUGGUGGGGAGAAUCCAUCCCAGGGAUGCUCCUUUGUUUCCCACAGAGACGUGUAGCCCAUCAAAUUAACACUGCCAACCUGCUGCAGAAAAUGGGGCCAGGGUUCAGAGCAAACUACUCCUCCUGAAGCCCUGAAAAAAGAGCAAACCAUCUAAAAAGCAAAAGCAUCAUUAAAUUUCCUUUCCAUGCGGUGAAUGAAGAAGCUUCUACCUGGGGAAGAAAGGGAAAGUAUUCUUUUUGUUAGCUUCAUCCAGAGAGGAAAAAAGUCUUUGAGGAAUUUUCUGGCACGUGGCUCCUGUUAGGUUUCAGCCAGCUGCGCUGUUUUCAGAAGCACUGGAAUGUAAUUUCAGCAAUAGUCAAUCAACAGAGGCAGUGAGGAUGUUCUGUUACACAGAAGUCCUGGGUGAAAAUCCAUGCAUUGUGUCUAAGAACACAAAUUUAACAAAAGUGAAUCUAGAGAGCUGAAUUCUGGCAACCUGGCUCUGCCCUGAACAAUGGAAAAUUGGAGACAUCCCCAUUGCUGGGUGGGGAAUGGCACUUUUCAACUCAAAUUUCAGUCAAUUGACUCAAGCUCAUCUGUAAACCUCUGGCACUGGUGAUUAAAAAAUUUAAUUUUCCACCAUUUUUUGAUUUUAUUGCUCGGAAUGCCUAAGUCCUAAAUUAGACAUAGAGCUUUUGGUGUAAGCCAGCAUAAUCCUUUUACCAUGGAAUCAUUCUGUUAUAUAGCAUUUUGACCGCUCUGUGAGUGUGUGAAAUUGUUGUCUAAAAUGCAUUGCUUAACGCUGGUAUUUGCCUGUUUUGGACAAAUCUGUUAAAAUUUUUGAAAGAAAAUUAUGCAAAAUAAAGCAACUUACUCUUUAGUCUCUUGGGUGGGAAAUGCUUGAGUUCUGCUUAGUUUCAAAGUGCUUUUGAAUGUUCAGUGUCAUGAUACAAUGGUGUAAGGUUUUUAAGGGCUAGUUAAAUUAUUUUCAUGGGACAAAGAAAUCCCUUACACAGUGCUAUAGCUGCAAAAGAACACAAAAAAGUGUGCUCAGUUGUACUGGGAUGAUGGAAUCAUGCUGCUCUCAAUGAGCUGAGCUCUCAAGUCUGCUGAGGAGAUUCCCACUGCCUUUCAGUCUUUGGAUCAGUCCAUAUAUGAAAAAAUUACUUUAUUCCCACCUCUGGUAGGAAAUGCAUUGGGAAGUCUGUGUGAGGGAACUUGGAGCCAUUCUGCUGGUACUCAUGGCUAUGCAGUUCUGAGAGGAGAAGUUCCUGUUCUGUGUUGUCUCCUAAUAGCAAAAAUCCUUAAAAGAUCUCGCCCUCCGUGUGAUUUGCUUAUACAGUAAUUUUCUUCUCCUGAAUGAAGCCAGGAAAGAGUUUCCCAUUACAUUUCAGGGAAGUAAAGUGAUGUGCAGAGCAGAUAUGUCAAAUAAUGGAGUUCUAGUGUGUAGAAACCAAGUCAACAUUAAUAAAAUUUGCUGUCUUUCUAAAAUGAUCUUAUACAUUAGAGUGUCAAAUGCUCUAGGACUUAUAAUGCAAGAAGACAGGAUGAAUCCAAGGCAAUGAAAUGAAACUAAUUAAAAUGUCAGAUAACACAAGUUUGGGUUGUUUGGAGCAGACCUUUAUGUGAGAUAGUGAGAUCUUCAUUAGAGGGCCACAAACUUAACUUUUUAAUAAGAAAUAAUAAUUUUUUACAUCAAGUCUGGCCUCUGCUGCCUACAAAUUUGGAUUGAUAUAUCAAAGUACAUAUUGCCUUUAAUAUUCCUGUCAAACCUGAGCUGUGAUGCAUUCCCUACUUGGAGGGAUGAUUCUGUAAAACUUAGCUAAUAAAAAUGUGACACAGCCAG
Molecule: long non-coding RNA, 2854 nt
Organism: Corvus hawaiiensis (hawaiian crow)
Lineage: Eukaryota; Metazoa; Chordata; Aves; Passeriformes; Corvidae
Exons: 5
Source: RefSeq, a predicted model, not a curated record